GCUUAGGGCCUGCUUGGUUUCAUGGGUGCCCUGAUCCUGUUCCACAUUAAAUCUAUCAGAAUUUGCAAUUCAAUCUUUUCUCUUAAUUUUCACUUUUAAAAAUUCUGACAAGUCCCGGGUGUGUAGCCAAGGACUGCACAGGAAGCUUAGGGAGACAGAGGAAGUGUGCCUCGUGGCCACAGGCGACUGAAAGGACCCAGGAGUGACCAAGACUAUUGUGGUUUCAGCACUGAAAGUACCUGCAUUCUCGGAAGUCCCUCAGUCCUCCGAAACCAGGACAGUUAGUCGCCCCCUCCUGUUUAACACCAGAAUAGAUGCUGAUUAUGCCUAUUUUAAAGAUAAGGAAACAGAGGCUCAGGGAGUUGGAAUAAUUGGCUAAGUGCACACACCUAAUGAGUGAUUAUGAAGCCCCUGCAGCUGCACACUCCCCUUCUCCGUUGCAAAACCGUGGUUCCUCCAGUCCCCAACUAGGCCCUGCAGACUAGAUAACACAAGAGGCAAAUGAGCCUGAGAGACUUCCGGCCAACAUCAGAGGAAUUUCCAUCAACUCUUAGGCAUCAUUUUCUCAUGAUGAAAAUGGGGAGAGAACAGGAGUCCCACUGAGAACGUGGAGCAACACUCUGAAGACCACACUUGAGCAGAAUGGACCUUUCUGAGCCUCGGAGGAAAGAAAAAGUCUGAUUUAAUUCUAAGGAAAUUGCCCUUUUUCCCCACCUGUGUAAGGCUGUAUUUAAAUGCUAAUAUUUUUGGCCUGCUGGGAUGCUACAUUUAUUUUCUUCCUAAGCAGCAAGAAAAAUCAUUUAUUUAUGAGAAUUCUAGCUCCUACCCUCUCUCCUGAGUUCCUCACUUUCAUUUCCAUCAACGAGCUAGACGCUUCUCUCCCCAAAACAAACGGACUCUGUAACCGUUUCAUUUCCCAAAACUCAUCCUUUUUGUACAUUUCCUGCUAUUGUUUCUAGAAAUACAUGUGGCUUUUGACUCCCUCCCCUUCCCCAGACUCCAGUCAAUCACUAGUUCCCUUGGCUCCACCUCCUCCCCUUGGGUGAGCCAUCAAGUCUGCCUGAGACUCCACUUCCCCAUCUGUAAAAUGGGUAUAAUAAAUCACACUACCAACAUCAUAAAUUUGUGGCAAAACCCAGAUAAUCCAAAUACAACACCCAGCACAGAGAAACAAGUGAUUAUUGACGAUCCUGACCCCGGUGGAAUCUGCUGUCUUCCUCUUAGUGGUUGUUCUAUUAUGGGCUGUUCAAUGACAGUCCUGCUGAUUAGAGAAACAUACACCGGUCACUAGUUGCUUUAUUUUCAUGCUCUGAAAUUCUCUACCUUAUAAA
Bos taurus (domestic cattle) is the source of this 1331-nucleotide long non-coding RNA. NCBI's taxonomy places the organism in Eukaryota, Metazoa, Chordata, Mammalia, Artiodactyla, Bovidae. The record is from Ensembl.